GAAACAGUCCUUCCACCCCGAGGUCGCGGGGGAUCCUGGGAAAUAUAGUCCCAAAGACGAAAGAGCAGUACACGUUGCACUGGCAACAGAAAUACAUUUCCCAGUGUUCCUUGGGCUCCCGCAGCCUCGGCCCCCCCGGAGACUUUGCACGCAUGCGCAAUGCCGCCGCCUUGCCCAGCACGGGCUCCCAGGUUUUGUGAAGAUACAUAACGCAAAGUUAAGGAGAGCUUUCUGCGAGACUGUGGAAACUAAAAUGAGAAGGCCCUUGUUCUGCUGAGAAGAUCUGGAGGAAACCUGCUGGAACUUCUGCAUGCCGGUCCAGAGAGGCGGUGUGAUGUCACGUCUGGGCCAUAGAAAUCCACGUGAAGAGCUUUGGAGCUGACUGACACAAUUCCCCGCAGUUCCUUAUGGAUGCUGAGGAAGUGGAGCUCUGUCUUUGAUAGCUUUAACUGGAAUGGGCUGCUGACCUUGCCCACCGGAGUUCACGUGCUCUCCAGCUACCUUAGGAUACUGUGGCUCCCGGGCUGGGUUGAAGAAAGGAAUACCCAUGAUGUCCAAGAUUACCCAGGGCUCCUCAGAGGAGGUAUUCAACUCAGGACGUCACAUUUACCAAGCAAGUACUUACGCUGCUGACCUAAAUGCCUGCACUUUUAAUUUUUUUUAACAUAUGAACUUCAUUACCUCUUACUAUUUUAUAAUGUAUUAUCUUUUGUAUUCAUAUUUGUGGUACAUUAUGAUUACAUUCUUGUGAAGUUGGCAUAUUUACUGUGUGGAAUAGAAAUUAGUUCCUUUCUUUUGCAUAGGGUGGGAAUUAUAAACCACAGCUUGUCUUCAGCAUCACUUGUACCAAGCAACCCAGUCCCUGUCCCCUGGCACUGUCAUCUUUAGGCACAGCUGGGUCUGGGAGGGCCUUUCUCUGUGGCCAGUACAGUAGGUAGUAGUGCCCAGUGUGCCUAGCAACAUGUGACAAGGCAGGGGAGUGUGCGUGGUCCCAGAGGGAGCCUGUGACAGCCUCCCUGUGGAGCAGGUGAUGAGCUUCAGGCUCUCUUCAGUGACUCCAGGUCAUUCCUGUGUGAGUUCAUGGGCACAGGAUCAGGCACGGGGCUGCCUGCAGCUCCUACACUUUGGGCAGUAUUUCUGGGAUUAGAGGGAAGAGGCCUCACUGAUGACAGAAGACCCAAAAGGUAUAUGGCAAGUACAAUUACCCCUCCACCUGCCAGAUGUCCAAUUAAACGAGUUCAUGUUUCUCAAAGUCACACAGUGAUUUCUAAGCCCAAUGCGGGUUAAAAGUAGAAAAAUUGAUUGUAGAAAGGAAUGUGAAAUACUAAUGUCUUCUGAGAGACAGGAGCUCUACCCAAUAUGCUGCUGAUGAGGUGAUGAAGAUUUAGAGCAAGGUGGGUGCAGUGUGGGACAAAAAUAUGAUCAGCCAAUAAGAUAACAAGUAUAGUCACUUAGGUCAUAUUGACCCAAUGGGAAGCAGGUCACACAGCAAGUAUACAAGGAUCACAUCUUUUUUUUUUUUUUUUUUUCCUCUCAUCUUUUUGAGAUAGGGUCUUGCUCUGCAGUUCAGGCUGAUUUUAAACUCACUUUGUGGACCAGGCUGAUCUUGAACUGGUGUUGGGUCUGCUGCCUCAGACUUUGUGCCCUCUCAGUAUUGCAUACCUGCCUUACUCCUUAUGAUUUUAAUAUUUCUAUCUGUGGGGUGAGGAUCAAACUCAGUACCUUGCAUUUUCCAGGCAGGUGCUGCCCACUGAGCUAGAUCCCCAGCCUUCAUCUUUUUUACAUGCACCUCCAGCUACGGUUUUGAUGAGUUCUCAUUUUUUGCCCGACUCCUCUGCCCUGAUUGACUGUCUAGGGUGUUUCCUACCUAACUUAGCUGUCUGUCCAACUGGGACCAGCUUGUCCUCUCCGCACAGCUCACACUGCUGAAAGGUGGGAAAACAUGUGGAGUCUAUGCACAUCAGGGCCAGUGAGAGGGAGAGGUGAGUGCAGAGCCUGUGUCUGCAACCCCAGCUGGGAAGCCCUGGAAUGAAACUCACAUCCACAGGGUGGAAUAUGUUGGGGUCAAGUCCUCAAUGCACAUGAAGUGACAGAAAAGCUGUGGCUUAGCCGAGGGUAUGGCUCAGCAGCAUAAGUAGUUGCCUGGUAAGUGCGAGAUUGUGAGUUUGAUUCCUGGUACCCCCCCAAAAAAAAUUCUUUAGUGGCUUGAGCAAGCAACGGGCAAACGAGGGAGAGAACCAGCCAGCGUCUCCCGAGAUCCCAAUAUGUUGGAUCUUGAAGGGUGCUUGAAAACAAAUCAACCUGCUCACCUCCCUGAUAAGGAGCUGUGAACCUACAAGAAUCAAACAUCCCAUCCUCCCACACCCCGUUAUCAAAUGGGAACCAGAGAUCCUAGCAUCUCUUGGGAGGAUACCCACAUGCAAGAGAGCAAAUAAGGGGGAUUUCCUUCCACCAUCUCUUUGAAGACAAAUAUUGCUAUCACUGUUUUACGUGUUCAGAUUCAUUAUAUUGUGCUACUCAAUAUUCUCCUUUGAGAAGUUCUAUAAUGUUCUGUAUUUGGUUUCAUUUUGCUGUACCUGAUUGAAAGAACAACUAUUGUGAAUAUAAGAGAUAUGGUAUGGUACUUAUAACAGUUAUCCCGGUAACCUGCUAUGAAGUUCUAUACCAAUUUCACUGUAUUAUCUCAGUUGGCGUUGUUGGGUCUUGAUCUGUUGUAUUUUACUAACUUUAAAGUAAUUUAAAUUAUGGAAAAAAAAGAGAAAAGAGCUGUGUCUUGACACUUUCCACCCAACAGCAACUAAAUGCGUCCUCAAAUGAAGACAAGGAGGAGGACACCUUGAGGAGAGGCAUCAGACAGACCCUGUGUGGAGAGCUGUGACGAACUCCUUUGAUUCUUCAUAUUGCAUUCCUUAAUUUCCAGCAACAAAUAUAGACUGUCUGACAAAAAUAAUUAAAUAAUUAAGUAAA
Long non-coding RNA from Cavia porcellus (domestic guinea pig), 2967 nucleotides. RefSeq lists it as uncharacterized. NCBI's taxonomy places the organism in Eukaryota, Metazoa, Chordata, Mammalia, Rodentia, Caviidae. The record is from RefSeq and is a predicted model, not a curated record. The transcript is spliced from 4 exons.